Molecule: unclassified non-coding RNA, 282 nt
Filed under: Hevea brasiliensis (rubber tree)
Lineage: Eukaryota; Viridiplantae; Streptophyta; Magnoliopsida; Malpighiales; Euphorbiaceae
Source: RNAcentral
AAAAGUACAACCCACAUGUUACCUUGAAAGUUUUUCUUCUAUGCAACCAAGUUUUGAAUCCUUGUAAUAUGCAACCACAUUUGAAAUGAUUUUGUCAAAAUUUGCAUGAUAGAAGACAAAUAAUUAAUUAGUUUCUUUAAGAUAGAAAAUCGAAGAAACCAAAUUAAAACAAGGGAAAAACAAUCCCUAGGGUUUUCUCCAAAACCCAAAUUUUGAUUCUACAAGCAAGCAAUCAAAUAUUUUGUCCAACGUAUUAAUAAUAAUAGGAGGAGAAGCGUCAUU